CCCGCCACCGCAGUCCGUCCUUUCUCGCGCGCUCAGCCCUGUCCCAGACACCGCGCGGACCUGCCCCUUGCUCUCCCCGACCGCUAUCAGCUCCAGCUCAGGUAUCACCGCCUAAAAUUUCCCCGAACAGCCUGAGAGUCCAGCAAAGGUUCCGGCCUGCAAGAGUGAACUCCACAAAAAGGACCAGAGAUCCAGAGCAUUAGACGAGCCCCUCAGCCUUAAAAAAAAUAAAAAUUAUGUUAUUUUGUACGUCUGUACAUGAUUAUAAUAUUGAGAAUAUUUUCCUUGCUGGGGGAAAGUGUGCUUAGUGCAAGGCCUCAUGAGGAGAGCAUACAAAAUACACAUGGAUUCCUUCAGACUCCACUUGUGUCUUUUUCUUUUAUAAUCCAAUGUGUCCUAACUACACAUAAUAAAAUUUAGCUGUGAGUGCAUCUAUAA
This is a long non-coding RNA of Hyaena hyaena (striped hyena), 438 nucleotides long. RefSeq lists it as uncharacterized. NCBI's taxonomy places the organism in Eukaryota, Metazoa, Chordata, Mammalia, Carnivora, Hyaenidae. The record is from RefSeq and is a predicted model, not a curated record. The transcript has 2 exons.